UGCUGGUCCAAGCGCGGUAGUGUUUACAACUAAUUAAUCACAAUCAGUUACAGGUUUCUUCGGUCAUUCUCCACUCCCACUGCUUCACUUGACUAGCCUAAA
Molecule: unclassified non-coding RNA, 102 nt
Organism: Pan paniscus (pygmy chimpanzee)
Lineage: Eukaryota; Metazoa; Chordata; Mammalia; Primates; Hominidae
Rfam family: Y RNA
About the family: Y RNAs are components of the Ro ribonucleoprotein particle (Ro RNP), in association with Ro60 and La proteins. The Y RNAs and Ro60 and La proteins are well conserved, but the function of the Ro RNP is not known.
Source: Ensembl